This 497-nucleotide ribosomal RNA is filed under the name uncultured bacterium. RNAcentral's name for it is "partial 16S ribosomal RNA". It matches the Rfam family "Bacterial small subunit ribosomal RNA", at positions 28 to 507 of the family's 1533-position model. The record is from RNAcentral.
GAUGAACGCUGGCGGCGUGCCUAAUACAUGCAAGUCGAGCGAACAGACGAGGCGCUUGCUCCUCUGACGUUAGCGGCGGACGGGUGAGUAACACGUGGAUAACCUCCCUAUAAGACUGGGAUAACUUCGGGACACCGGAGCUAAUCCCGGAUAAUCUAUUGAACCGCAUGGUUCAAUAGUGAAAGACGGUUUUGCUGUCACUUAUAGAUGGAUCCGCGCCGCAUUAGCUAGUUGGUAAGGUAACGGCUUACCAAGGCAACGAUGCGUAGCCGACCUGAGAGGGUGAUCGGCCACACUGGAACUGAGACACGGUCCAGACUCCUACGGGAGGCAGCAGUAGGGAAUCUGCCGCAAUGGGCGAAAGCUUGACGGAGCAACGCCGCGUGAGUGAUGAAGGUCUUCGGAUCGUAAAACUCUGUUAUUAGGGAAGAACAAAUGUGUAAGUAACUAUGCACGUCUUGACGGUACCUAAUCAGAAAGCCACGGCUAACUACGUG